This 620-nucleotide ribosomal RNA is filed under the name Aquarana catesbeiana (American bullfrog). RNAcentral's name for it is "Lithobates catesbeianus (American bullfrog) partial 12S ribosomal RNA". It matches the Rfam family "Bacterial small subunit ribosomal RNA", at positions 7 to 1010 of the family's 1533-position model. The record is from RNAcentral. Lineage: Eukaryota; Metazoa; Chordata; Amphibia; Anura; Ranidae.
ACAAAGGUUUGGUCCUAGCCUUAUUAUCAACUGUUUCUCAACUUACACAUGCAAGUAUCAGCACACCCGUGAGAACGCCCUUUAAAUCUUACCCAGAUAAAGGAGCUGGUAUCAGGCACAAACCCUCCGCCCACAACACCUAGUCUCACCACACCCUCAAGGGUAAUCAGCAGUGAUUAAUUUUGCGUAUGAGCGUCAGCUUGACUCAGUUAGAGAAAAGAGGGCCGGCUAACCCGGUGCCAGCCGCCGCGGCUACACCGUGGGGCUCGAGUUGAUAGUCAUCGGCGUUAAGCGUGAUUAAAGUUAUUACAAAUUAAGGUUAAAUUAAUACUUAGUAGUUUUAUGCUUGUUAUUAAGAAAUCCACAAACGAAAGUUACCCUAAUUAUUAUGCUUGAAUACACGACAGCUAGGAAAACAAACUGGGAUUAGAUACCCCACUAUGCCUAGCCGUAAACAAUUAAUUUACACCAAUAAGCGCCAGGGAAUUACGAGCAAUGCUUAAAACCCAAAGGAUUUGACGGUGUCCCACCCCACUAGAGGAGCCUGUUCUAUAAUCGAUGAUCCCCGAUAUACCCGACCAUUUCUCGCUUAUCAGUCUGUAUACCUCCGUCGAAAGCUU